GGCAGAGACGAAUAUUGUCAAGUUGUAAAUGAUGAUUUGUUAUACAGUCAUACUAUGUGAGUUUGAGUUUAUGAUUUUUUUUUUUUGUUGAGUCUCCCUUGCUAGGUGUUCUUCAUUUCUGGUCGAUUUGACUACAUUGGUCUAUUUUAGGCAGAUAUGGUUUCUUUGAAUUUCCUCAUCAAGAGCCCCCUAUUUGCUUUGCUUGAAAUCAAAUUUUUAUUCGCUAAGCAACAUCGACGAGUGAGAUAAAGCAUGGAGGAAGAACAGAGCCUGUGUUGGAAUCUGACUGGAUUAUGAAAUUGGUUGUUUUCUGAAGCAGAUCUAGGCUGCACCGCUUGAAGGAGUGAAGCAUUAAGAACGUUGAAGAAGAUCGAAGCAGUGAUUCAUCAGCUAUAUGAAUAUAACAUAGCUCAUCAGAUAUGGUUUCUUUCAAUUUCCUCAUCAAGAGCCCCCUAUUUGCUUUGCUUGACAUCAAAUUUUUAUUCGCUAAGCAACAUCGACAGGUGAGCUAAAGCAUGGAGGAAGAGCAGAGCCAGUGUUGGAAUCUGACUAGAUUAUGAAAUUGGUUGUUUUCUGAAUCAGAUCUAGGCCACACCACUUGAAGCAAUGAAGCGUUAAGAACGAUGAAGAAGAUUGAAGCAGUGAUUCAUCAGCUAUAUGAAUAUAUCAUAGCAUGUCUAUGUAGCAUGUAUUAUAGUAUGACUAUAUGAAUAGACUAUACUAUUUUGCAAUUUGCUUGAACUUCUUUUUCUCUGGUAUUAAGAUUACUUUGCUAUUUGUUAUUUCCUUGAGAUUAAUAGAUAAUAUUUUGCUAUUUGAUUGAAACAAUCAAAUUCUCUUUUCUUUUGGUAUGAAAUGUGUAUAUUUCGUUGGAA
RNAcentral lists this long non-coding RNA (875 nucleotides) under Eutrema salsugineum. RNAcentral's name for it is "long non-coding RNA (ESAL_LNC000513)". The record is from RNAcentral. Lineage: Eukaryota; Viridiplantae; Streptophyta; Magnoliopsida; Brassicales; Brassicaceae.